Molecule: transfer RNA, 72 nt
Organism: Camelus ferus (Wild Bactrian camel)
Lineage: Eukaryota; Metazoa; Chordata; Mammalia; Artiodactyla; Camelidae
Rfam family: tRNA
About the family: Transfer RNA (tRNA) molecules are approximately 80 nucleotides in length. Their secondary structure includes four short double-helical elements and three loops (D, anti-codon, and T loops). Further hydrogen bonds mediate the characteristic L-shaped molecular structure. tRNAs have two regions of fundamental functional importance: the anti-codon, which is responsible for specific mRNA codon recognition, and the 3' end, to which the tRNAs corresponding amino acid is attached (by aminoacyl-tRNA synthetases). tRNAs cope with the degeneracy of the genetic code in two manners: having more than one tRNA (with a specific anti-codon) for a particular amino acid; and 'wobble' base-pairing, i.e. permitting non-standard base-pairing at the 3rd anti-codon position.
Source: Rfam
UGGGUAAUAGCUCAGUGCUAGAGCGCAUGCUUAGCAUGCACAAGGUCCUGGGUUCCAUCCCCAGUACCCCCA